GUCAGGUGUGGUGGCAUGUGCCUGUAGUCCCAGCUACUCUGGAGGCUGAGGUGGGAGGAUCUCUUAAGCCCAGGAGUUCUGGGCUGUAGUGCGCUAUGCCGAUCGGGUGUCCACACUAAGUUCAGCAUCACCUCCCGGGAGCGGGGUACCACCAGGUUUCCUAAGGAGGGGUGAACUGGCCCAGGUCAGAAACAGAGCAGGUUAAAACUCCCGUGCUGAUCAGUAGUGGGAUCACGCCUGUGAGUAGCCACUGCACUCCAGCCUGGGCAACAUAGCGAGACCCAGUCUCUU
Callithrix jacchus (white-tufted-ear marmoset) is the source of this 291-nucleotide unclassified non-coding RNA. It matches the Rfam family "Metazoan signal recognition particle RNA". Rfam says of the family: The signal recognition particle (SRP) is a universally conserved ribonucleoprotein. The record is from Ensembl. NCBI's taxonomy places the organism in Eukaryota, Metazoa, Chordata, Mammalia, Primates, Cebidae.